RNAcentral lists this ribosomal RNA (301 nucleotides) under uncultured bacterium. RNAcentral describes it as "partial 16S ribosomal RNA". It matches the Rfam family "Bacterial small subunit ribosomal RNA", at positions 509 to 807 of the family's 1533-position model. The record is from RNAcentral.
CAGUAGCCGCGGUAAUACGAAGGGUGCAAGCGUUAAUCGGAAUUACUGGGCGUAAAGCGCGCGUAGGUGGUUUGGUAAGAAGGAUGUGAAAUCCCCGGGCUCAACCUGGGAACUGCAUCCAUAACUGCCUGACUAGAGUACGGUAGAGGGUGGUGGAAUUUCCUGUGUAGCGGUGAAAUGCGUAGAUAUAGGAAGGAACACCAGUGGCGAAGGCGACCACCUGGACUGAUACUGACACUGAGGUGCGAAAGCGUGGGGAGCAAACAGGAUUAGAUACCCCAGUAGUCCCUGUCUCUUAUAC